This 1623-nucleotide long non-coding RNA is filed under the name Heterocephalus glaber (naked mole-rat). RNAcentral describes it as "lncRNA (ENSHGLG00000039081.1)". The record is from RNAcentral. Lineage: Eukaryota; Metazoa; Chordata; Mammalia; Rodentia; Bathyergidae.
CUUCUUCUGAUCCCCUCAGCCCCAUUUUGAGCAGUCUGUGGCUGUGGCUUCUGUAUUCCAGGAGGGAAUGGUGUUGGUCAGGUUUGUGUCACUAUGACAAAAUGUCUGAACUUAUCAGCUUCUAAGCUGGAAAAGCUCAUGGUUUCAGAGGUUUCAGUUCAUAGUCACUUGGCGUUGCCACUUUUGGGUCUGUGGUGGCACAGGCAGGAGCACGUGGUGGAGGAGGGCUGUUCGCUUCCUGGUGACCAGGAAGCACUGAGAGACAGGAAGGAGCUGGAGUCCCGGCAUCACCUGCAAGGACACACCCAACGUCCUGCCUUCCUCCCAGUAGGCCCUACCUUCCACCUUCCACAGGCUCCACUACUUCCCAGUAACGCCACUUGCUGGGUUCCAAGCCUUCCACAAUGGGCCUCUGGGGACAUUCGGGAUCCCAAACCUAGCACGGGGCUCGAGCAGCAAAGGCCCAUGAGGAUGCCACUCUUGGUCUUUCGGGGAUAUUCUAGUUACAAAGAGCACAGUGACACUGUGGAACCCUGACUAUUAUUAUUUUCUUUCUCUCUCGUUCACUCGAGCCGGGUUCCUUUGGCCUCUUGAAGCAGUGAACCAAGCAGUUGGCCCACCCUUUGACCUUUUCAGAUGGGGUGCAUUGGUGGCCCUGAUGGUGCUACCUAUAGUGUCCACGCAUGAGCAAUAAGGAGUCACCCUCCUUCCUUCCUCUUCCAGUCCCCAACAAGGAGAAACAAGCCCACCUGGGCUCAGCAACCCUUUUGCUGCCCUGCAGCACCCCACUCCCUCCCCGCAUAACGGCCUGGUCACCCCUAACUCGUUACUCCAGACCCAGGAGGUAAACGCUUCUGAGAUGCUUCCUGUUUCCUCUUCUUCCUGUUCAUUAACGUGAAGUACCCGUUUCUGAGAAGUGCCCGGCUAUUUAUUUCAGAACAGCCUGACAAGACUCCAAGCUCAUAAACGUGGAGAGCCACGGCCAUCGACCUAGAGCUCAUAGAAGUAGAUUUCUUCACACAAUGGGAUGCAACAUGGAAGUCCUGUCAGCUCCCAACACGUAUGCAAACCUGAGCUAAUUGCUCCCAGAAGCACGUUGACGCUGGAUUCAAAGCUGAUUUUUACCUCCCAGAGUGUUUGGGUGACCUGGCUGGGGGAAAGAGGGUUGUGGAUAAACUUUUUGCUCUUGGAGACCCAUCUUUAAAACCACACUGGCCUUCUAGAUAAAUCAUUUAAUUUUCAUUGUUUAAGAAAAAAAUAUUUCAGAGACUGAAAUCAGUUGUAAGUGGGCAUGGGGAACUGCACCAUUUUCCUCUCUCUGGCAAACAUUGCUAGGACUUUUCCCAAAGACUGAAGUUAUCCGUCACUCUGCUCCCGAGGACCAGAGCUCCUCCCAGACAUUUCCAGGCCCUGGAGAGGAGGAUGAGCCCAUAAUGUGGUAGGAGUAGAGUAAGGGUGACUUUGGAAUUCAGCAGCCUUGCACCUUCAGGAGAUAAUUCUGUUCACCUCCUUGCAGCCCACCUGCUUUCCUGGGAGGCGUUUGCUGUCUGGAGGUCGCUGCGUUUUUGUUAGUUACGCGUGCGUGCAGGUAAUGCUUGGCAGAGCACCAAGCCCAGAGAGUCC